GGAGGAGGUAUAGAAGAUGCGAGUGACGCUGCAGAAGCACAACUCAAGAAUAAGAAGCGCCUGCUUCGUUUGGAAUUGGGUUUCGACUACAACCAGGAGAACGGCAUUUUAAUUGAAGCUUUACAGCCUCCGUCAGACUUGGAAUGUCUGACCAUAUCUAGUUACGGAGGGUUGGAUUUGCCACAUUGGAUGAUGACAUUAACCAGAUUACAGGAGCUUAGACUUGAUGAUUGUACAAACCUGGAGGUCUUGCGUCCGUUGGGAGGAUUGCCCAACCUUGAAAUCCUGGUACUGAGCUCGUUGAAGGUGAGAAGGCUGGAUGCUGGAUUUUUAGGUAUAGAAAAGGAUGAGAAUGCCAGUAUUAAUGAAGGAGAAAUUGCAAGGGUCACUGCUUUCCCCAAAUUAAAAAGACUUGAUUUUAGGCAUCUCUUAGAAGUAGAAGAGUGGGAAGGAAUUGAAAGGAGAGUGGGAGAAGAAGAUGUCAACACAACUUCAAUAAUAUCCAUUAUGCCACAACUUCAAUAUUUGAGAAUUAUCAAUUGCCCGUUGCUGAGAGCACUACCAGACUAUGUUUUGGCAGCGCCUCUACAGGAAUUAGACAUAAGGUGGUGCACCAUUCUAAGGAAACGUUACGGGAAGGAGGAGAUGGGUGAAGAUUGGCAAAAGAUUUCUCACAUCCCAAACAGUUAUUUUUAUGAUUAGGUGAGAAAGGCAGAACUCUUUAGAACCUGCUUUGAGUGUAUUAAUUAUUUGCUUUGGUGUUUGCUAAGGUUGAGUGUAAAUAAUAUGUAAGCCUUACCAUUUACUCUAUGUGACUGUUUCAGUGGAUUAAAUCCAAGAAAUUCUUAAACCUCAGUUUCAGUGGAUUUCAUUCAAUGUGACUUUACUGUAAUUCGAUUUUAUUUCCUACUUACCAUUUACUCUCUCAUCCUCUCCCUCUCCCUCUCUCUCUCUCUCUCUCUCUACUGUAAUUGGUUUUAUUUCCUACUUACCAUUUACUCUAUCAAAAGCAGCUGUCAUAUUAUCUCGCUCACGUGAAGCUUAUUCCUUACUUAAAUUCUCCAAAUGCCACUCUAAAAAAAUUGCGUUUGAAAUUUCAACUACUGUAACUCAUAUCUAUAAUUAAUCUAUAUAUUUUAACAUCCUCUCUCUCUCUUUCUCUCUCUCAACAUAAAAUGAUAUGUAAUUCAUAUGUUUCUUUGAGUGUAUUAAUUAUUUAUUAUUGAAUAAAUAAUAAAUAAUUGAAGUAAGGAGAAAGGAAUUAUUUAUUAUUGAAGUAAUAAAUUAUUUAUUACUUCUUCGAGUAAUAUUAAUUAUUUAUUACUUCUUUGUGAUUUACUUCUUUGAGUGUAUUAAUUAUUUAUUAUUGAAGUAAGGAGAAAGGAAUUGAAUUUAGAAUGCUAAAAGUAAGCCAUGGGGGCAGCUGAAGCACAGAGGUGGUAAUUAAGCAAGUAAUCUAGCUAGAUUGCUGCCCUUGGAAGUUAUUAGUGUCACUUCCAAUGCAAGUUCUCUACAAUUUUUAAUCUUUGUAUCGAAGGCUUCAUGCAUGAAAUAAUUUAUUGCUGGAGGAGGAGCAGGGGCCCCUAGCUGCUGUUUAAUAACGAGGCACAUUGCAAUUUUUAAAAAUGUUUUUUUUUUUAUCUAAAGAUAUAUUAAAAUAUCUUCUUAGAUUUUUUUAUUUUUUAUAUUAAUACAUUAAAAUUAUAUAAAAAAAUACUAGAAAAAUAUUAAUUUGACUUUUUAAAGCCAAUAUACACUUUAAAAUACAUUUAAACACAAUUUCAAAUGCAAAAACAAAAAAGUUUAUGAAUCCUAUCAGCCCCAAGGUUGUAUUGUACAUUUAUUAUUGUAAUGUGAGACACGUCUUUCUAAACCAAUAUAUUUGUAAAAUUUAAAAGUUAACUCUUCAUUCAAAUUAUUUAAAUAACCUGAUAUGAGAUAUAUCAUACAUAAUUAUUAGAUUAAUUAAUUCUGAAAAUUUAAUUAAUUAAUUCUGAAAUUAACAAUAAAAAUUAUUUAUGUUAUAUAAUGUAAAUUGUCAAAAAAAAUUUUAACAUCUAAAUCUAUUGAGUUAAUGUAUCUCGUAUAUAAAACUAUAUUUUAACAACAAUUUUGUCCAUGCUUUUCUCAGAGGGAAGAUUGUUAAAGACUUCAACUAAACCAUGAAAAAAAAAUUCACACAAAGCCCUAGCACCAAGUACCAUGGGCCAGCGCUCCCAUGGCCAGGCGAAAAGCUCCCCUGAAGAGCAACAUGUAGAAUUCAGGUAAUAGCUAUCACGCACUUUAAUAAGUUCAAUUAUUAGUAUUUUUAGCUGAAAUAUUGCACAAAAACUGCUAUAGAGAAACCCAUAUUUUGAUUUUGCAAUACUAAAAUGUUGCAUAAAGUUAAAAGUAUGUGUAACUGUGUAAACCAGUGGAACUGUGUAAAGGGGACUUAUGAUUAUGUUUAAAUGAAUUUUUUAAAUAAAUUGCAUGUCUUCACCAACUUUUACCUGCUUUUCUCACUUUAAUUUCUUUUCUUACUUUAAUUUUUUUUCUUUCCAUUCAACUUUCACCCAAAAAAAAAACAUGUAAUUGGAUUCUAAUAUUCAACAAAAAAAAAAUCAACUUAAUUGUUAAAAUAAAAUUUAGAGAUUAAAUUAAAAAUUUUCAAAAAUUUCAUUGCUCCAACCCGCAAUGAGAGAGGGUAAUAAUAAUUUAAUAAACAGUAAAAAAACCCCACGCUUUAGCUUUAUACUUAAUAUUGAAGAUUUAUAUUUUUAAUAAAUUCAACAAAAUAUACUGAAUGUCUAGAAGCUUGGUGGCCAAGUUCAGAUCAUGAGUUUUCGUUUAUUGUCGAGGAUGAUUUGGAGGUUUCGCCGCUGUUUUAUAAAUUUGUGAGGGGUUUGAUUGUUAAUUACCGUUACAAUGUGUCGAAUUUUAGUCCUUUUAUAUAUGAUAUGGUGCUUCACUUCAGCGUCAACGGUUUGUCCCAGGGACUGCUCUUUUUUCAGGUUUUGUACUUGUUAGACUGGAUGUUUUAAUGUUCAAUGUUAAGGUUUCCAGAUUUCUUGAUUUGUUAUAAAAAAUUGAAUUCAUUAUAUUCUUUAAAUAUCCUUGGAUGUUUUUGAGUUAAAAAUCCACUAUUACCAUUAUUGUCGCCACCCCAAUCCUUUUUCUAUCCUAUAAGUAAAUUCUUGAAUUUAAUAAAUUUUAGUGCUUAAUUUAUAAAAUUAUUUUCAAUCAAGUCACACUUGAUUAAUUAUCUUAAUUUAAUUUCUGACUAAUGAUUCUUAAUGUAUAUGACCCAUUGAGUUUCUAAUAUGUUGGCCCCAAAUAUAAGUUAUGUUUUAAUGUUCAAUGUUAAGGUUUCCAGAUUUCUUGAUUUGUUAUAAAAAAUUGAAUUCAUUAUAUUCUUUAAAUAUCCUUGGAUGUUAACGUUUCUAAGGUGUUUUGGGUCAAAAGAACCUUGAGCUCAAUUUUCUAGCCACCACAGUGGUUGAAAUUUGAGCAAAAUAGACGACGCGUUGUUUAUUUUGACAGACAACAUGUCAUUUGAUUUAUUUAUUUUUUUAAAAUAAAACGAAUGACAUGUCGUCCACCCCAGGUGCAUUUUAAAAAACGACCUAGUCACGUGGUCCUUCCUUGGCAGGCCCGUGCAUGGGCCCUGAUGAAAGGGGUUAGGUAGACCCAGCAACGCCUAACCUUUUUUUUAUUUUUUUUUAUUUCAAUUAAUGCUUCUUUUUUUAUUUAAAAAGAAACUUUAUUAUAUUUAUAUUAAUACACUUUCUCUUUUUUAUUUUGUUUAAAAAGCCUUUUUUAAAAGAUGAUGAUUUUUUGGAUAUCCAUUUAAUUUUCAAAGAGAUUUUCCUUAUUCAUCUAUAAUUAAUGCCAAAUAAAUUGUUUCACAUCAAAUUAACCUCUACAUUUUGUUUCACUUUUGAAACUCAAAAUGACAAGUCAUUUCCAUAGAAACAUACAAAUAGAAAAAUGACCGAUGCAUAAUACUUAAACCCAAUGUGAAGCAAUGGCCAAGUAUAGACUUGCCUUUGCCUUUUUCCUUUUUACACAUAUUUUCUCAUUGUUUCAGUGACAUUUGCUUGCAUCAACCUUGUAGGAAAUUAGUUGCUUUAUACUGAAGUUUCAGAAUCAUACUCUAACCCCAGUCUUAAGCAAAUUAUCUUAAUUUGCAGUAUAUAUUGCCUAAACUUCAUUGAGAAUAACCUCAAAUUAAUUUUCUCUGGCACUCCACAGUAGAUCACUAUCCUUCCUAUCUUCAUCAACUUCUCAUUUCAUCAGUCAACAACGCCCCAUUACUUUCUCUCCUUUUUCUUGACACAUUCAGUAGUAAGAACAACAAUGGCUGACGCACUUGUAUCCCCAAUUUUGGAGCAGUUAACCACGAUCGUUGCUCGACAGGUACUCUUUUUUGUUUCUUUCUUUUUUUUUUGUUUUUUUUAUAAUCAACAGGUACUUAAUUACUUUUCUACAAUUUUGCAAUUAACCUAACAUUUAUAGUUCAUUAUACAUUGAUUUCAUUAUCUUAUAGAAUAUCUGUUAAUUUGUCAGAAGCUAAAUCAGUAGCUUGAUUUAUAUAUUAUCACAUUGCAUGUUAUCAAAUAAAAUACACACACAGACACACAAGAUAGCGGGUUCUUACGAUUCUCUUUCUUUAUAUCUUUUGUGCUAUACAAAAUAUGGUUAUUGUGAUGGCUGGUUAGAACAAAUCAAUAUAGUAAAAUAGUAGUAAAUUCCUUUUUCAAUAAUUCCUUAUCAUAUUUGAAUGCAUAAAUCAUUAUAUUUGUAAUAAAAUUAUUAUGAUAAAAUGAUUAAAAUAAAUAUAGUCAAAUAUUCGAUUAAUUACAAACAUGAUUAUAGAAAUUCUAAUAUUUCUUUUUUAUUUUGAUAUCAACCUCACAGAAUUUUUAAAAAAAUAGACUAUGAUAAUUAUUAAAAGUCACCUAAUAAUAUUGUGAAAUUGCAAUGUAUUGCGCUCCACAAUUAUAUGAUUAUUAUAAUAUCUAUGAAUUCUAUCUUUUAUCUAAAGAAAUCCUUUAUUCAAAUAAAAUAUAUUUUAAUUCACGCAUCUAGUAAAUUUUAGUACAAUAAUUGUGCAUUAGCAUUACAUUAUUUACGAGUCAUUUUAUUUUAGAGAGUUUAUUAUAUAUAAUUUGAAUAUAAUUAACAAUAUAAAUAUAUUAAUUGCUACUGUGAAAAAGUUUAAUAAAAAUGAUUUAAUCUAUUAAUUGCUAAAAAAUAAGAAUUUGUACUGAAAUCAUAGAAAUGUUUCCUAUGCUUAACGUUUCUUUUCCUCUGUACACUAAUAGGUACAAGAACAGGUGAACCUAGUAGUGGGUGUGAAGAAACAAUGUGACAAGCUGAAAAGCAAUCUCCUUGAUAUCCAAUCUGUCCUUGAAGAUGCAGAUAGAAAACAAGUGAAGGAUAAGGCUGUAAGAGAUUGGCUAGACAAGCUCAAAGAUGCAUGUUAUGAUAUGGAUGACGUGCUAGAUGAAUGGAAGCACUGCAAUUCUUCGAUGGAAAAUGGAGGAAGCUGUAGAAAAUACUCACAGCCGACAGAAGAUACAGUGUUCCUUCCUGGGAUCUCCUUGCUUUUGUUUCAAUCAAGUGGUUCGACGUCGCGACAUUGCCCUGAAGAUCAAAGAAGUUAGUGAAAAAGUGGAUGACAUUGCCAAAGAGAGAGCUAAGUAUGGCUUUGAUCUGUACAAAGCCACUGAUGAACUACAGCGACUAACAACUACCUCAUUUGUUGAUGAAUCAAGCGUGAUUGGUCGAGACGGCGAAAAGAGAAAUGUUGUAAGCAAGUUGCUGGCUGAAAGUAGUCAAGAAGCACGGGACGUGGAUGUCAUCUCUCUAGUAGGGCUGGGAGGAAUUGGAAAACUCGCCCAACUAGCUUUUAAUGAUGCUAAGGUUACGGAUCAUUUUGAGAAAAAGAUAUGGGUGUGUGUAUCAGAUCCAUUUGAUGAGGUUAGAAUAGCCAAAGCUAUCCUUGAGGAGCUUGAAGGGAGGGCAUCUGAUUUGGUAGGAUUGCAAUCCCUUUUGCGAAGGGUUUCUGAAUCCAUUAAGGGAAAGAGGUUCCUUCUUGUCCUUGAUGAUGUCUGGACAGAAAAUCAUGGACAAUGGGAACAACUGAAACCAUCUCUCACAGGCUGUGCACGAGGAAGCAGAAUUCUAGUGACCACUCGUAAGGACGCUGUGGCAACGAUGAUGGAAACUGACCACCGGAUCAACAUUGAGAAAUUGUCCGAUGAGAUAGGUGAGAAAGACAGAACUCUUUAGAACCUGCUUUGAGUGUAUUAAUUUAUUAUUAUUAUUUUUUUUGCUUUGAGAGUAUUAAUUAUUUGCUUUGGUGUUUGCUAAGGUUGAGUGUAAACAAUAUGGAAGCCUUACCAUUUACCUAUGUGACCUCUCUCAUCCUCUCAACAUAAAAUGAUAUGUAAUUCAUAUGUAUAAUUUCUCUCUCUCUCUCUCUUUUAAACCUCAGUUUCAGAUAAAUGAGAGAAUGGUAGACUUGGAAGCUAAACCUUUCAUCUAUAAGUGAUAUACCCAUCGAUUUUGGAGACUAAAUCCAAAUAAAGUUAUCCAAACCUAACACAAAAAAUCUUCAACAAUAAUUAAAUUACAAAUCAACAACAAAAUUCAGCAGCAAGGCCUAAUUAAAUGUUUACUCAUUUUUAUUUUUUUUAUAAAAAUAUGGUGAUCAAAUGCAGGUCAAAUAUUUUUAUUUUUUAAUAAAAAUUUAGUUCUUUAAAUAUAUUUUUCUAGUUCAAAAAAUAUAAUAAAUUAAAAAUUUUAUAUACAUCUAAUCAAAUAAAUUAAAAAAUAUUUAUGUUAAUAAAUAAAUAAAAAUUUGUUAAUAAUACUUAAAAACAAAACUGGUUCAAGCCUUCAUUGAGCUCAAUGUAAAGAGGACCAACCUGCCGUCAUAAAAGCCCAAAAUACUCCAUUAUAAAAGCCCAAGUAAAUAUCCCUGUCUUUCUCUCCCACACACUCGCAUUCUCAGUUUUUCCUCUCUGCGUCUUCAAGCAAUAAACCAUGGGUGAUAGCCAGUACUCCUUUUCUCUCACUACUUUCAGUCCUACCGGAAAGCUAGUACAGAUUGAGCACGCAUUGACUGCCGUUGGAUCAGGCCAAACUUCUCUCGGAAUCAAAGGUUGUUGCAAUUUAAGCUCUCUCUCUCUCUCUCUUUUCUCUCAUUUUCUUGUCAUUUUCGAAUGUACUAUGUUGUUGAUGGGUGCUUAGAUACUAUGUUGUUGAAUUUUUUUUUUUUGGUGUUGUAGCGGCAAACGGUGUUGUUAUUGCAACUGAGAAGAAAUUGCCAUCUAUUUUAAUCGAUGAAUCUUCUGUAAGUAAACUUUUUUUUUUUUUUUCGGUUUUGUUAUAUUCUUUGGUUGAAAUUCAAGAAACCCUUUUGUUUUUUUGCGUUUUUUAUUGUGUUUUCUUUGUGAACUUUUCGGGCUGGCCCUGCGAUCUUUUAGUAAUAACCUAAGUAUAGAGACAUGGGCUUGUAGCACUCUAAUUGAAGAAGCUGAUGAUUCUUGUGGAAAAGCAACGUGGAUUCUAGUCAAUGAGGUGUUGGUCUAGUAGUUAACAGGUUUAUAUUGAGAUUCUUAGGAGUCAUUUGAGUUUAGUGACAUCGGCUGGUAGAAAUCUGUUAAAAUUCGGUGUAAAUUUGUAAUUUUUAUUAGUAAUUUGAGCUUAGUGAUUUGGGCUCUUGCCAAUGAGGCGUUACUAUACUAGUUAAUGACUCUAAGAUUGAGACUUUGGAUGUUGGAGUCUCUAGAUUUAUAUCCUCAUUAAUCCCACAUUGUAUAAAAAGGUGUUGUUGAUUAUUUUAAAUCGUCUUGAAUGAGGUGGAGAUGGUUUGAUUUUGGAGCCAGUCGAUUGGUCUAUUAUUCUAAUUUGCAAGAUGGCAUGGAUUUUGGAUUAAAUCCAAAUAAAGUUAUCUAAACCUAACACAAAAAAUCUUUAACAAUGAAUGUCAUAACUCAAUUCUGGGUUAUUCUUCAAAAUCUAUUUUUUUAAAAUAAUAAUAAAAGCUGGCAACGUGGAGAAAGUAGGCGGGAAAUCAAGUUGCAAUUUUUGGAGGAAAUUCAAGACCUAAUUGUACUCCAUUAUGUCCAAAAAUGGAGAAAAAAAUGCAAAUUCAAGGUCAAAUUCAAUGAUUAUUGGACGAAUUUGCGUAAAAAUUAAGUCCAAUAACAUAAUUAAAUUUUUAAUAGGCCAAUUUGAUUUAAUCAUGGACCAAAUUAAAUUUUAAUUAUGUUUAAGAAUUAAUUUCGGUCCAAUUAAAGGAUUUAAUUAAGUGCAAGGACUUAAUUAUACUUUAAAUGGGUCAAAUUAAUUUUAUUUGGAGCCUAAUUGGUGAAAAAUUAAGUUUGAGAGCCUAAUUUGAGCAUAAUUGAGAAGAUUGGAAUUUUAAGAGACUAAAUUUAAUUUUUACCAAGUUAAUUGAUUGAAAUUAGGGGUCAAAUUGCAAGAAAAUUGAAGUUUUGGGGUCAAUUAGGGGUUAAAUUGACAAAAUUCACAACCAAGGAUCAAUCUGCAAAAGGCGCCAAACUAUAGGGGUUUAAUUGACAAAAUUCAGGGGUCAAAUUGAAGAAAUUGAAAGUUUAAUGGUCAAUUAGGGAUGAAAUUGCAUAAAUUCGAGACCAAUGACUAUACUGCAAAAGGCGCGUAAAUACAGGGCUAAAGUUGAAGUUCUGCAGGGGUCUUAUUCCAUUAAAUCAAAGGUUUAGGGUCAAUUAGGGGUUCAAUUGAACCAAAUUGAAAGCUAGAGGACUACAUUGAACUUCGGCAAAAUCCCUAAUUUUAACCCAAAAUGAUGUUGUUUUUGCGUUAAAAAAAAAAAGAAAGAUACCAGGCGACACGUUGCCUGGUCACUGUUCAUCUUCCCCGUGAACGCUGCCCGGGUAGCAGUUUUGCAGGUGCAUUUAAUGCCUCGCAUGUCCCCCAAAAUUGACAACACGUGCACCAAAAUAGUCACCUGAAAUCCCUCUAUCCCCGAGUAUUAUCUGGUCAGGCCUAUUAACAUGAAAACUGCUCCAGUGACCGGCCUGAAGUAGCCAACUCGGGCAGUUUUGGACUGUCAAAUUUGGCAGAUCGAGGUGCACACUUUGAACCAACGGUUGGAAUGCUUACCAACCAAACCAAAGGCCACGAUUUGACACCAUUAAAGAAAAAAUGUUCCUCUUCCAUCUCCUACAAAUAGGGCUGCAUUUCAUGGCCUGGAGGAGGAAGAAAUCGAGUCCAAAAUUGACAAAAAACCAGCCGCACCCUUCUGUUUUUCUCCUUUUCUUUUCUGCAACGAGUACUCUUUCUCUUUUCUCCUUCUCAGCCGUGCAUUCAGCCACCACCACUACCACCGCUAGCUUGACAACCAUCCUCUCCAGCACACUUCUCCCUCUCCAUUGAUUUCUUCUCCCUUUUCCUCCAUAGCGACAGCAGCUCAUCAGCACCACCAUUUUCUUUUUCUUCCUUCUCCAGCACCGGCAACAGCAACAUCAGCACCGACCUCCAUCCCCACAACCAGCUUUACCACCAUCAUUUCCAUCAACCCAGCUCUUCACCAGUGGCGGAGCAGCCACCGUGACCUUCUCUCUCUUCUCCUUCCAGCUUUUCUCUCUCCUCUGCAACUUUUUCUUCUUCCUCGCACAGUCGAAUCUGGCCACCAUCACCUCAGCCGACGCCCCCUGAGCCACCGGCUAAACCACCUCAUCACGACCGAGACCCCCACGCCAGGCAACUUCCUCCUCCCUGCUUUGCCUCUUUCUUCCUCGUCGUGGCUGCUGCAUGCAGAAUUUAUUUCUACAUGGAGUAAGCUAAUUAAUUAGCCCCUGGUUUGGGUCGGGCCAGUUAUAGCCCUGCCCAAGUGGUUGGGUCUUGCCUGGCCCCCAUUUAAAAAAAAAUCAAAAAAAGUUUUCAAAAAUCAUUUUAAAAAAAAUUUGGGAUUUUUCUCGCAUAUUUUUCUACCAAUUUUGCAUAAUAUCGGGUUGUAUAUUUACACUGUAAAAUACAAAUCUAGUAUUAAAAUACCCGGUUUUCUCCAAAAUAUUUCAAAAAAAAAAUCAAAACAUUUUCAAAAAGAAAAAAAUAUUUCGUUGCAUAUGGCCAAAUUCUAAAAAAAUUUCAAGCAUAUUUUCAUAAAAAAAAUUGCAUCUCUCUCAUGUUUUGAAAAUAAAAAAUGGAUAUCAUAAACAGUUUAUGAUCAUCCAUUAGUAUUUGGCCAACAUGUCAAAAAUCUUUUUCAAAUCUUUUUUUUAUGAUCUAGAUGUAGACUUUAAUAUUUGUGGGGUGUAAAAUUACAUGAUAAAGUACACCCUUAUGUAUUAAAGAUACAAGGUGUAAAUAAAUGCGAUGCCAAAAUUCAGACUUUAGAAUAGUUAGAAUUUAACCCGAUAAGGUAGAAACUCUCUCAUGAAGAGAGAUCUGCCUUGAGCCUUAGAAAAGACUAACGAAUAAAAACCCAACUUAGAAAAAAAACAAUCAAACAAACAAUGCAGCUUACCUGAGGUAGGGUGCAUUGGGGGUGAUGCGUCUUUCCCUUGCAUAACCAGUCCCUUACUCAUACUCUCGCAGACCAUAGAUUCCUAGUGACCAUAAUACUAGGUGGCGACUCCUAAACAUUAAUCAUAAUUCUAUAAUUAAAUCCAAAAACCCUUUCCAACACACAACACCUCACAUAGGAGGCACGGCAAAGAGCCUCCGCCGUCGCGGCGCUCACGCCCCCGCGACAAUGAAUAUGAUUUCUGCUAAUGAAAGGCAAGCCCCCUAGUGCCUGUGCUUUCUAAAUGCCAUCACAGCCCCAUUCAAGGAACUUCCAGACAGAGGAUUCUUCAGACCAAUAGCAUUAAUAAUGGAAGACAAUAUAGAUUCAAACUAUGAUAUCAGAAUCAAUAUAGAUACCACCAUAUUUGCUUAACCCAACAUACAAAGGACAAAUUGCAGAAACAAUGAUUCUAAACAUAAUAGAACCAGCACAUGGAAUAUAAAACAAAAGUUCAUCUCAACUCUAGUGAAGAUAUUCUAGGGGAGUUUUUCGAUCUAUUUUUGAGGGGUUUGUUGGGUAUUUUGAUUCAUUAGCAGCCUUCCAAGUCUUUGUGAUAUUAAUCCGUAAAGACAUGUAAAAAUACCUAGUUACCAUGAUGAGUUUCUCAAAUUUUUUUCAUAUGAAAAGAGAGGUUGAAACCCCGGACCAGUGACCUCCUAGGAAUCAUUAUGCACCCCAACCCACAUGGAAGUGUGAGAUCAACCUCUUAGGAAUCAUUGUGCACCCCAACUCAUAUGCAAGUGUGUAAUUGUUGGUGGACCUCGAGUUGCAGGCUCUCCCUUGUGGUUUUGUUUUUUAGAGUGGCUUACUGCUCACCCAUGGGUGGUGUCAAGGAGAUAUUAACUAACACAUGGUUUCCAAUUCAAGAGCCAUCAUCAAAAUCACAAGAUUCUGAUUGCCAAAUUCUCAACCAAAUAAAAGUUUGAUUAAAUUGAAUUGAAUAGCACCAAAUAUUCAAUGGAUCAACAAAAAUAAAAGGUAAUGUUUAUAAAACCAAUUUUAAUAUAGCUCAAAAUUAAGCGGAUCUUUUCGGUAAUUAAGGUAAGAACUUCAACAAAAAAAAAUAAAGAAAAGAAUUAAUAUGGCCUGACAUGGUUAAAAUAUCCCGGUAAACUCAAGUAAAAUUUGGUUAAAUAUUGUUGAUUUUUUUUGGAAAAAACAAUUUUAGUCAAAACAAUAUUAUUUUAAUUCAGAUUUGACAACUCAGGAUGCCUACUUUGAGGCAAUGGUUGGGAUCCUUACCAACUGAAUCAAGGGCUGAAAUUUUUUCCUGGUAUAAACAAGAUUGCUCUCUUCCACCUCCUAUAAAUAGAGGUGGAUUUCCUGGCCUGGGGGAGGAGAAAAUUAGGACCAAAGUCGGCAAAAAACCAGCCCCUCUGCCCUUGUUUCUGCAGUUUUUCUCUCCCUCUCUCCCCCCACCGUUCGAGCCACCACCUGCUCCACCACAGGUAGCUAGCCCAACCACAAGCUGAUCACCCCCAUUCCUGAAACAGUCACCGUUUCUUCCUCUCUCUCACCUCUGCAAAAUCCUUCUUCCUUCCCCCGUGAUCGACUCCGGCCACCAUUCCUCCCAGCGACGCCACCAAAACCAUCAACACAACCUCCUGAUCACGGCCGAGACUCCUGCUUCGAGUGAGCCGCUCCUCCGUCAACCUUCAUUUUCUGCAACCAUUUCAGUUGCAUGCAGAACGUGAACCACUGUUCACGUUCUGCAAAUAAUUAACAUUAACUUUGGGUCGGGCCAGUUAUGGCCUAGCCUAAUUGGUCGGGUCUGCCCUGGCCCAAAAAAAAGAGAGAAAAUGUGUUGGGCCAAGAUCGGCCCAUUGUUUUCUGGGUUUGUGCCUGACCCACUUAUCUGGGCCGACCCGACCCACAUGUUUUAAUAAUAUUUAAUUAAUAUAUAAUAUUAUAUUAUAUAUUUCUUUUAAAAAAAUAAAAAAAUAAAAAAUCCUUUGAAAAAAAUUGUGAUUUUUUCACAUUUUUUUCUAUCAAUUUUGCAUAAUAUUGGGUUGUAUAUUUACACUUUAAAAUACAAAUCCGAUAUUAAAAUACCUGGUUUUCUCUGAAUUUUUUUUAAAAAAAAUUUCAAAACAUUUUCAAAAAGAAAAAAAAAUUUUUGUUGCAUAUGGACAAAUUCUAAAAAAUUUCCAAGGAUAUUUUCAUUAAAAAAAAUUGCAUCUUUCUCAUGUUUUGAAAACCCAAAAAAAUAGAUAUCAUAACCGGUUUAUGAUUAUCUAUUAGGGUUCGACCAAAAUAUCAAGAACUUUUUUUCAAUUUUUUUUUAGGAUCCAGACGUAAACUUUAAUAUUUGUGGGGUGUAAAAUUACAUGAUAAAGUAUACCCUCGGGUAUUAAAAAUACAAGGUGUAAAUAAAUACGAUGCUAAAAUUUAGACUUUAGAACAGUUAGGAUUUAACCCAAUAAGGUAGAGACUUUUUCAUGAAGAGAGAUCUACCUUAAACCUUAGAAAAGACCAACGAAUAGAAACCAGACUUAGAAAAAAAAAUUAAACAACAACGUAGCUUACCUUAGGUAGGGUACAUUGGAGGUGAUGCGUCUUCCUCUUGCAUAACCAAUUCUUUACCCAGACUCUCGCAAACCAUAGGUUCCUAGUGACCAUAACACUAGGUGGCGACUCCUAAACAUUAAUCGUAAUUUCAUGAUUAAAUCCAAAAACCCUUCCCAACACACCACACCUCACACAAGAGGCACGACAAUAGCCUCUACCGUCGCCAGACGACGUCGCAUUGGCGCUCGACCCCCUUGACAACACUAUUAAAAAACAAAAAACAAUAUGUAAUGGCUCUUCAAAAUAUAUUUAAAAACACUUUUUACUGUCACUAAAUUUUUUUGAUCCGUAACAAAAUUAUCAGAAAUGGUCACUACAUAUAGUGUCAUAAUUAAGUUGAUGCAGUGACACCAAACCCUCUAUAAAAGAGAUUAAAGAUCCAAUUUAAUAAUUUGAUGAAAUUGAAAAUUAAAGAUCCAAUUUAAUAAUUUGAUGAAAUUGAAAAUUAAAGAUCCAAUUUAAUAAUUUGAAGGAAUUUGAUAUGAUUUAUUACUUUCAAAUUAUAUGUAAUCUUUUUUGUUAUGAAAAAAGGGGUUUGAAUUCAAGAUUUUCUUGGAAGAAAAAUACUAAAAUCAUUCAAGUUACAACUCAUUGAAGAUAGUUCAAUGCAGAUGAUAAAACUUGAAUAUCAAAUCCUGGAAACUACAAUAUGCUUAGCCUUCAGCUAGUUAAAAAAACGAAUAUCAAAUCCUGGAAACUACAGUUGAUAAAUAAACCUGGUCCUCGGAACCUGCUUUCAAGUCUCGUUAAUAUCACAUUGCUUAGCAAAAACCCUAAUUCCCGCAAGAACCCUGCUUUCAAGUUUUUCAAUUGCAUGAGUUGCUUUUACUUCCCCUGUCAUUCCAAUUUUCUUUGAUUCUCAUUUCAUCCUUUUAUGGUCAUCAAAUCUUUCUCAUUACUUCAGGUAUAUACGUACAUCACAUCAAUUUCAUUUUUCAACCUACAAGUCGUGCUCUUCCUUCACCACAGCCCUACAAAAACUAAUAAAAAAAUGUUGAGACACUAAAAUACAAGCUUCACUAGUAAAAAAAACUACAAGUUGCAAGAACUCCACCUGCAACACCAAACCCUAAGUAAAUAAACUAACUUCCAUUCACAAUCAGCCGCCUCCUUCCCUUCACCGUCUCUUUCUCUCUGCUCAUCCCAUCAUCAUUGCCUCUCUCUCUCUCUCUCUCUCUCUCUCUCCAAUCAGAACUAAACAGACGAUGGCUGAGGCACUUGUAUCUCCGAUCUUGGAGCAGUUAACCACGAUCGUUGUUCAACAGGUAUUUUUCUACCAUCUGCAAUAACCUGAUUUACCUAGCAGGGAUAAGAAAUAUAAAGGUCAAGCCUUUUUUCUUCCUAUCAUAAAAAGAAUACUUUUAACUUGAAUAAAUGAAAAUGGUAUAUGUUUGGAUUUUAUUAAAGAAUCUUCUUUUUGUUGUUUUAUUAUUUUUCAUAAUUCCAAAAAUAACCUAAAGAAAAUAUAUCAUUCCAAAUAUAGGAAAACCGAAAAAGGCAAAACAAGAGUUGCCAAUUCUCUUUAAACUGAACUAUUAAGGGUAAAAUAAUCAAUAAAAAGUUCAGAGGAUUAGCGAGCGAGUGUAUAUAUAUAUAUAUAUAUAUAUAUAUAUAUAUAUAUAUAUAUAAGGUAAAAUAUAUCUAUAGUUUAAUGUAAAAUAAAAACCAGAUUUUAUGUCGGUUCAAAGGAGAAAUCCUUCUCUCGUGAGAACAUUAAACUCUUUCCAUGCCUAUAUUAAUUAUAUAUAUAUACGUACAAGUUUAACGUUGUACCAUUUAAGAUUCAUUUUAUACCUUCUUAUACAGUAGCAUAGUGCAGACUGAUAUCAUCAUAAUGAUGAUAAAAAGAAAAAAGAAAUAUUAUUAUUUCUAAUAAAUAUUUUACAUAUAAAUUAUUAAUAUAGUAAAUCCAUUUCACAAUAAAAUAUAUUAAUACAAAAUAGAAAUGUUUCCUGUGCUUGAACUUCCUUGUCUUUUCUACACUAAUAGGUACAGGAAGAGGUGAACCUAGUAGGGGGUGUGAAAUUGUCUUGAAAUCACAGAAAUGUUUCCUAUGCUUAACGUUUCUUUUCCUUUGUACACUAAUAGGUACAAGAAGAGGUGAACCUCGUAGUGGGUGUGAAGAAACAAGUCGACAAGCUGAAAAGACAUCUCCUUGCUAUCCAAUCUCGCAUUGAAGAUGCAGAUAGAAAACAAGUGAAAGAUGAGGCUGUAAAGGAUUGGCUAGACAAGCUCAAAGAUGUAUGUUAUGAUAUCGAUGACGUGCUAGAUGAAUGGAGCACUGCAAUUCUUAGAUGGAAAAUGGAGGAAGCUGAAGAAAAUACUCGCAGCCGACAGAAGAUGCGAUGUUCCUUCCUGAGAUCUCCUUGCUUUGGUCUCAAUCAAGUGGGUCAACGUCGGGACAUUGCCCUUAAGAUCAAAGAAGUAUGUGAAAAAAUGGAUGACAUUGCCAAAGAGAAAGCUAUGGAUGGCUUUGUUCCGUACAGAGCCACCGAUGAACUACAACGACUAAUAAGUACCUCCUUUGUUGAUGAAUCAAGCGUGAUUGGUCGAGAUGUUGAAAAGAAAACUGUUGUAAGCAAGUUGGUGGGUGAAAGUAGUCAGGAAGCACGGGACGUUGAUGUCAUCUCUCUAGUAGGGCUGGGUGGAAUGGGAAAAACAACUCUCGCCCAACUAGCUUUUAAUGAUGCUGAGGUUACGGCUCAUUUUGAGAAAAAGAUAUGGGUGUGUGUUUCAGAACCGUUUGAUGAGGUUAGAAUAGCAAAAGCAAUCAUUGAGCAGCUUGAAGGGAGUCCAACGAAUUUGGUUGAAUUGCAAUCCCUUUUGCAAAGGGUUUCUGAAUCCAUUACUGGAAAGAGGUUCCUUCUUGUCCUGGAUGAUGUCUGGACAGAAAAUCAUAGACAAUGGGAACCACUGAAACUCUCUCUCAAAGGCGGUGCACGAGGAAGCAGAAUUCUAGUGACCACUCGUAAGGACGCUGUGGCAACGAAAUUGGGAACUGACCACCGGAUCAACAUUGAGAAAUUGUCCGAUGAGAUAUGCAGGUCAAUAUUCAAUCAUGUGGCAUUCCAGGAAAGAAGCAAAGAUGAGCGCGAAAGAUUGACAGAUAUCGGCGAUAAAAUUGCAAACAAGUGCAAGGGCUUGCCUCUAGCUGCCAAGGUAUUAGGAGGUCUAAUGCAGUUUAAAAGAACAAGAGAAGAGUGGGAACGUGUUUUAUCUAGCGAACUGUGGAGGCCAGAUGAGGUUGAUAGAGACCAGGUUGAAAGACAAAUAUUUAUACCGUUGCUUUUGAGUUACUACGAUUUACCUUCUGUGGGAAGACGAUGUUUCUUGUAUUGUGCCAUGUUUCCAAAAGACUACGAGAUGGACAAAGAUGAAUUGGUGAAGAUGUGGAUGGCUCAAGGUUACCUCAAGGAGACUUCAGGUGGAGAUAUGGAGCUUGUAGGAGAGCAGUACUUUCAAGUCUUAGCAGCGCGCUCUUUCUUCCAAGAUUUUAAGACGUAUGGUCGAGAAGGUAUUGCAUUCAAGAUGCAUGAUAUAGUGCAUGAUUUUGCCCAAUAUAUGACAAAAAAUGAAUGUCUAACAGUGGACGUCAAUAACCUUGGAGAAGCAACAGUGGAGACUUCAAUUGAAAGGGUUCGUCAUUUAAGCAUGAUGCUGUCAGAGGAGACUUAUUUUCCCGAGUUCAUUCAGAAAGCAAAAGGUCUUCGCAGCCUCUUGAUCAACACUAGAGACCCUUCACUUGGAGCUGCACUUCCUGAUCUAUUCAAGCAGUUGACAUGCAUCAGGUCAUUGAAUUUGUCAGAGUCUUCAAUCAGAGAAUUGUCAGAGUCUUCAAUCAAAGAAAUACCAAACGAGGUAGGGAAAUUGAUACAUUUGAGACACGUCAAUUUUGCAUAUUGUUAUCAGUUGGAGUCCCUGCCAGAAACCAUGUGUGAUUUAUGCAAUCUGCAAUCCCUAGACGUUACUUGGUGUGGUUCUCUCAAGGAAUUGCCUAAGGCGAUUGGAAAACUUAUCAAAUUGAGGCAUCUCCAGAUUGAUGGUUCAGGUGUGGCCUUCAUACCAAAGGGAAUAGAGAGGAUAACAUGUCUUCGAACAUUAGAUGUGUUUAAAGUUUGUGGCGGUGGUGAGAAUGAAAGUAAAGCAGCUAAUCUAAGAGAAUUAAAAAACUUAAAUCACAUUGGAGGGAGUCUUAACAUACGGAAUCUAGGAGGAGGUAUAGAAGAUGCGAGUGACGCUGCAGAAGCACAACUCAAGAAUAAGAAGCGCCUGCGUCGUUUGGAAUUGGUUUUCGACAGAGAGAAAACAGAGUUGCAAGCGAAUGAAGGCUCUUUAAUUGAAGCUUUACAGCCUCCGUCAGACUUGGAAUAUCUGACCAUAUCUAGUUACGGAGGGUUUGAUUUGCCAAAUUGGAUGAUGACAUUGACCAGAUUACUGGCUCUUGAACUGCAUGAUUGUACAAAGCUGGAGGUCUUGCCUCCGUUGGGAAGAUUGCCCAACCUUGAAAGCCUGGCAUUCUGGUCGUUGAAGGUGAGAAGGCUGGAUGCUGGAUUUUUAGGUAUAGAAAAAGAUGAGAAUGCCAGUAUUAAGGAAGGAGAAAUUGCAAGGGUCACUGCUUUUCCCAAAUUAAAAACACUUGAGAUUUGGCAUCUCGAAGAAGUAGAAGAGUGGGAUGGAAUUGAAAGGAGAUCAGUGGGAGAAGAAGAUGCCACCACAACUUCAAUAAUAUCCAUGAUGCCACAACUUCGAUGGUUGAGAAUUAUCAAUUGCCCGUUGCUGAGAGCACUACCAGACUAUGUUUUGGCAGCGCCUCUACAGGAAUUAGACAUAAGGUGGUGCACCAUUCUAAGGAAACGUUACGGGAAGGAGGAGAUGGGUGAAGAUUGGCAAAAGAUUUCUCACUUCCCAAACAUUUAUUUUGAAUAAUAUGUAAGCCUUACCAUUUACUCUAUGUGACCUCUUUACUGUAAAAUCCAAGACCUAUCACUGAUCAUGGCAAGACUCACUCCUCUAUUUCCAGAUCCAAAAAUGUCAAGAUAUUUUUAAUUCUUUAAUUCUAUGAAUAAAAACAUAGAUAUUGAAUUUUUUUUUUAAUCUUUCAUAAAUUGAAUUCAAUUUUCGAAAACUUUCUACAAAUCUAAAUAUGGAUAUUGAAAACGACAUCAAAAUAGGAACUUUCAUAGGUUUCCACACACUCCCAUAUGCCUUGAGCUUAAGCGCAGGUGGACAUCUUUUUUUUCUUUUUCUUUUUUUCCAAGACAAAUGCUGCAACCUAUUAAUCAUCCAUGAGCCAUGUGUGCAUACCGCACGCCUCCUUACAGGGCAUCUUCACUGCCGGACUGGUGGGAUUCAUAUAGACUUCAUAUGUGCUACUUUGAGGCUCCAUAUCUCCGUUUCUAGUGUUCUUGAACUCGUCAGAGAGCUUACACUGCAUGCUAUCUAUAACAACAGAUAUCAAGCACAGACAAUAAAGCAUAAGAAAAUUACAAGACAGAAAAACCAAUUCAUCGUAAUUCAAACGCUGAAAUCUCUCAGCAUACAAGUCCAAUUUACACGCCAUUUCCCAGAUUUAGUGCUCGUGGCAGAUGCACAUGAGGUAAUCAUUUCAUGCUAUUUGAUGCUUUCUAAAGUUACCAUAUAUGUCCAUAAUACGAGUUUGAAACAGAAACUGAUGCAAACAGCCAUAUUAAUCAUCCAUGAGCCAAAAAUUAAGAACUGCAAGAGUAAAAUGAACUGACUUCUUACUGCAAAAUGUGAACAGGCAAACGGUGGAUUUGGAAAUCAAGGGGGCAAGAAAAACCUUGUAAUUCAAAUAGGUGCACAGGCUAGGUGUGACAACCCUUUUAAUUCAUGAUCAGUGUAAAAUAUCUAUGGUUGUGGUAAUGCUAAUUAGAGUUGUUGAAUUAUAUUGCAAUGCAAUUCCAUGAUGUAAAAGUAUUUUUCAACUUGGAUUAAACUCACUUAAUUAGUUUAUUAAUUUGUACAAAAAUAGUUUUAUUUCAUAAAAUCUCAUAAAAUAGAAAUUACAAAUAGUAAUUCAACUCAUAAUUUCAUGCUCUCUCUUAUAUAAAAUUUUAAUUUGAACUAAACUAUUCUUUAUAGAAUGAAGUAUUAUUGCUUUCCAUCUAGAAAUGAAACACAAUAAAUUAUUUCAUAAAACAAUACAUGCAAAAUAAUUCAAUACUACUUAUAAAAGAAAAACCAUUUUAAAGUAUUAAGUCAAAAAUUCAGGAUGUUUUAAAGUAAUCCCUAGUAAUUUUGAUUUUCUCAUAAAUCUAAUUUUAUUGAGUGAAUGAAAGAUUUCAAAUAUAUAGUACGUAGUAUAUAAAUAAUUUUCUGAACCAAAGAAAGAUUUCAAAUAUAUAGUACGUAGUAUAUAAAUAAUUUUCUGAACCAAAGAAAAAACAGAAUUUUAGGAGUGAUUUAAAAUCAUGAACUAGAAUUUAAGUAUUCAAGUUGAGCAUAUUAAAUUUGAAUUCCCAGUCGUUCAAGUGCAUGGGACACAAAUCCUUCUUCAAGAAUCGUUGUGUUUUCUUCCCCUCGGAACCCAUUAAAACAUGGAGCCCAAAAGUAUUUAGAUUGCCCAAUUCACCAAGUCAUAAUGAGAGAACCCAAGCCCAAGCAGAGUACUCUGGGCUAAUUCAUUUUAUUUAGUACUAUGAUUAUUAUAUGCACUCCAUUAAUUAUUAGUUCCACUUCAUUUUGUAGCCACGAUGAUCAAUUAUGCAUAUGACCUCACCUCAACACUAGUUUUGUACCCGCACUCUGCAAUGAGGUGCAUAUAGUGUUUUUUCAGAGCAUCAAAGCAUUGACUAAGAAAGACUGACUGAAUUGAAACAGAACGCAACGAGACUUUUGGGUUUGAAACUAAUCCAGUGAAGACAGCAAAUAACCUUCUUCUUUUUUUUUUGUAAGGGAAGGCAAAUAGAAUGAGUUUAAAGCAUAAUGACUUAAUUGCAAAAUGCAUAUGAAUGCAGUUUUUUGACAAGGGAGUUUGGUGUUCCUGAAGCAGCAACAAUGGCUGCUAAGCUACGCAUAAUUUGUUGUCUUGUUCCCAACAAUGCCAUUCUGAUCCCAAACGCUGCUGAGUCUAGCAUGCUGAUUUCCUCACUAAUUUCGAUCUGAAUUUCAAUUUCCAGAUUUCAUAACCUUAGCCCUUAUUUUAGUAACCAAACAACUCUCUUCCUAUGUUCCUGCAUCUGCAUGUCGACUCUUCACUCUCUGAUUCCUGAAUCUUGAAAAGACUCUUCCUUUGUUUUUCUAGUUGUCUUGCGUUAUGUUUCUAGCUAAAAGAAGAAAUAAGUGACUUAAAUUAUGAAAAAGUAGAAAAAGACAAUGAAAGAAGUGCCUUAAAUCACGUUAAGUUAAGAAAGGAAUGAAAAGAAAAAAAGAAGAAAGGAAGGUGAUGUAGUCCAUACAAAAUGAAUCCUUUCCUCCAGAAAAUCUUGCUCAUUUCUUGUCCUUUUCACACCCAUUUGCUCCCCUUCACAAACAAACCUCCCCAUUUAAAGGAGCUCCAAUCACGCAAACCAGCAAUCCUUCCCAACUUUUUUCCAUGACCACAGCACGCUACUGAUAUCCACACAGCCCCAGCUUCAGACAGCUUCCAUCACGCAGACCCUUUCCUGUUAACACAACCGCAGAGCCUGUAGCUGCCGCCAACAAAACCCCAGCAUCCUCUCCAUGAAUAAACCAAAACACAUCCCUGCUCAUCCACUGAUAACUCCUUAAACUACCCAGAUACAUGACUUCCAAAAGGUAUAUGAUUUUUAAAGUUAAAUGUAACCUCUAAAAGUAUGGAGAGUUGGGGACUUGAAUUAUUCUUUGCACGGUGACAAAUGAAUUCUAGAAUUUAGAUUUUUAUUUCCCAUCUAAAUAUUAAAAUAUUUGACAUUAAAGAUAUUUUAAUAUAUUUUUAAACAAAAAAAUAUAUAUAAAAAAUACUUUACAGCAUAAUUUCAAGCACCAUCAACAAAUCCAAUCAUACAACCUCAACAAAUCUGGACCAUCCAUUUUCAGACCCAAAAUCAAAGAUCAAUAUCAAACCCCAGUCCCUGCUAUGAAAACAGGAUAAAAUCACCAGAUCUCAAAAACCCAGAUAGAUAGAUGCUUGUUUAUAUUUCCAUUACACAAGAACUAAUUGGUUACUAAUUUUGGUUUGUUUAAAUUAGUUUGAAUGGCCAGAUAUAUAUUACAUAAAAUGAAGAGAAGAAAUAGAGAAGCAGGAAUUUCAGUAGAAUGCUAUAAUCAGAUGUCCAUAUCAGAUACAUUCUUAACCUACGGUCAGUAUCAAUAAAAAAUAAUUGCUAUAUAUCGAAGAAGAAAUUACUUUCCACAAAUAAUAAUCCUUAGCCUAGAACUCGGUAGAAUUGAAAAGCACGAGUGUUUCACCUUUGGAACUCAAAAUGGCAUGUCAUUCUCAGUAGAAACAUACAACCAGGACUAGACUGAAAAGCUACAAUAAUAUAGGGACUGAAUUGAAGUGUUAGAAACAGUACAGGGACUGAAACAAAACUCAACCCCCAUCACCAAACCCUAAGUACAUAAACUAACUAAACCAGCAGCCUCCUUCCACUCACACUCUCUUCUCUCUCUUUCUCAGUUCAUCCUAACAUCAUUGUCUAUUUUUUAAAAAUAAUUAAAUUAAACAGACAAAUGGCAGAGGCACUUUUAUCGCCAAUUUUGGAGCAGCUAACCACGGUCGUUGCUCGACAGGUAAUUACUUUUAUACAAUUUGCAAUGAUCUAAUUAACCCUUACAUUAAUAAGAAAUAUAAAAAUGAUCUCUUUUUCUUUCUUUAUAAGAAAAACAAAAUAAAAUAUCAAAUCCUCAGAUCUAGAUUUGGAUUUUAUUAAAGAAAUUUCUAUUUAUUGUUUUAUUAUUUUUCAUAUUUCUGGAAAUAAUCUAAAACAAAUAUUCUUAGAAGGAAAAUGGAGUUGUCGAUCCUCUCAUAAAACUGAACUACUAAGGGUAAAAUAAUCAAUCAGAUGUUAAAAUAAUAAGUUUCAUAAUCUUAUUAUAAUACCAACAAAUAUUUAUUUCCAAAUAGAUUUUACGAAUACCAACAAAUACAGAUCCUUUUAUUCUCAAUAUUUCUUUGAUCCACCAAGCUUAUGUUAUAUAUAGGUUUGACGUUGAACAAUUUAAGAUUCAUUUUCUUCCUUCUUGUAUAGUAGCAGAGUGCAGACAGAGAUAUCAUCAUGAUGAUGAUAAAAAUAAAUAUUAUUAUUUUUAAUAUAUUGGUUUUUAAUAAAUAUUUUAUAUAUAAAUUAUUAAUAUAGCCAAUCCAUUUCACAGUACGUGUCAACUACUGCGAAAAAAAACAGAUUAAUAAAAAUUAUCUAAUCUAUUAAUUACCAAAAAUUAAAAUUAAAAACUUGCAGUGAAAUCAUGGAAAUGUUUCCUCUGCUUGAACUUCUUUAUCUUUUCCACACUAAUAGGUACGAGAAGAGGCCUAGUGGGGGAUGUGAAGAAACAAGUCGACAAGCUGAAAAGCAAUCUCCUUGCUAUCCAAUCUGUCCUUGAAGAUGCAGAUAGACAACAAGUGAAGGAUAAGGCUGUAAGAGAUUGGCUAAACAAGCUCAAAGAUGUAUGUUAUGAUUUGGAUGACGUGCUCGAUGAAUGGAGCACUGCAAUUCUUAGAUGGAAAAUGGAGGAAGCUGAAGAAAAUACUCGCAGCCGACAGAAGAUGCGAUGUUCCUUCCUGAAAUCUCCUUGCUUCUGUCUCAAUCAAGUGGUUCAACGUCGCGACAUUGCCCUCAAGAUCAAAGAAGUUAGUGAAAAAGUGAAUGACAUUGCCAAAGAGAGAGCAAUGUUUGGCUUUGAGUUGUACAGAGUCACUGAUGAACUCCAGCGACUAACAACUACCUCCUUUGUUGAUGAAUCAAGCGUGAUUGGUCGAGAUGGUGAAAAGAAAAAUGUUGUAAGCAAGUUGCUGGCUGAAAGUAGUCAAAAAGCACGGGACGUGGAUGUCAUCUCUCUAGUAGGGCUGGGCGGAAUUGGAAAAACAACUCUCGCCCAACUAGCUUUUAAUGAUUCUGAGGUUACGGCUCAUUUUGAGAAAAAGAUAUGGGUGUGUGUUUCAGAUCCAUUUGAUGAGGUUAAAAUAGCCAAAGCUAUCCUUGAGCAGCUUGAAGGGAGUGCACCGAAUUUGGUUGAAUUGCAAUCCCUUUUGCAAAGGGUUUCUGAAUCCAUUAAGGGAAAGAGGUUCCUUCUUGUCCUUGAUGAUGUAUGGACAGAAAAUCAUGGACAAUGGGAAAAACUGAAACCAUCUCUCACAGGCUGUGCACGAGGAAGCAGAAUUCUAGUGACCACUCGUAAGGACGCUGUGGCAACGAUGAUGGGAAGUACUGGCCACCGGAUCAACAUUAAGGAAUUGUCCGACGAGAUAUGCAGGUCAAUAUUCAAUCAUGUGGCAUUCCAGGAAAGAAGCAAAGAUGAGCGCGAAAGAUUGACAGAUAUCGGCGAGAAGAUUGCAAGCAAGUGCAAGGGCUUGCCUCUAGCUGCCAAGGUAUUAGGAGGUCUGAUGCAGUUUAAAAGAACAAGAGAAGAGUGGGAACGUGUUUUAUCUAGCGAACUGUGGGAGCUAGAACAUGUUGAAAGGAGACUAUUUCCACCUUUGCUUUUGAGUUACUACGAUUUACCUUAUGUGGAAAGACGAUGUUUCUUGUAUUGUGCCAUGUUUCCAAAAGACUACGACAUGCGCAAAGAUGAAUUGGUGAAGAUGUGGAUGGCUCAAGGUUACCUGAAGGAGACAUCAGGUAGAGAUAUGGAGGUUGUUGGAGAGGAGUACUUUCAAGUCUUGGUAGCACGCUCUUUCUUCCAAGAUUUUAAGAAGUAUGGUCUAGAAAAUAUCAGAUUCAAGAUGCAUGAUAUAGUGCAUGAUUUUGCCCAAUAUAUGACAAAAAAUGAAUGUCUAACAGUGGAUGUCAAUACACUUGGAGGAGCAACAGUGGAGACUUCAUUUGAAAGGGUUCGUCAUUUAAGCAUGAUGCUGUCAGAGGAGACAUCUUUUCCCGUGUCUAUUCACAAAGCCAAAGGUCUUCGCAGCCUCUUGAUCGACACUAGAGACCCUUCGCUUGGAGCUGCACUGCCUGAUUUGUUCAAGCAGUUGACAUGCAUCCGGUCAUUGGAUUUGUCAAAGUCUUCUAUCAAAGAAAUACCGAACGAGGUAGGGAAAUUGAUACAUUUGAGACACCUCAAUCUGGCAUCUUGUGGAGAGUUGGAGUCCCUGCCAGAAACCAUGUGUGAUUUAUGCAAUCUGCAAUCCCUAGACGUUACUUGGUGUGGUUCUCUCAAGAAAUUGCCUAAUGCGAUUGGAAAACUUAUCAAAUUGAGGCAUCUCCGGAUUAAUGGUUCAGGUGUGGACUUCAUACCAAAGGGAAUAGAGAGGAUAGCAUGUCUUCGAACAUUAAAUGUGUUUAUUGUGUGUGGUGGUGGUGAGAAUGAAAGUAAAGCAGCUAAUCUAAGAGAAUUAAAAAACUUAAAUCACAUUGGAGGGAGUCUUGGGAUACGGAAUCUACAAGAUGCGAGUGACGCUGCAGAAGCACAACUCAAGAAUAAGAAGCGCCUGCUUCGUUUGGAAUUGGAUUUCGACUACAACCAGGAGAGCGGCAUUUUAAUUGAAGCUUUACGGCCUCCGUCUGACUUGAAAUAUCUAACCAUAUCUAGGUACGGAGGGUUGGAAUUGCCAAGUUGGAUGAUGACAUUAACCAGAUUACAGGAGCUUAUACUGUCUGAUUGUACAAAGCUGGAGGUCAUGCGUCCGUUGGGAAGAUUGCCCAACCUUGAAAGCCUGGUAUUGAGGUCGUUGAAGGUGAGAAGGCUGGAUGGUGGAUUUUUAGGUAUAGAAAAAGAUGAGAAUGCCAGUAUUAAUGAAGGAGAAAUUGCAAGGGUCACUGCUUUCCCCAAAUUAAAAACACUUUGGAUUGGUAAUCUCGAAGAAGUAGAAGAGUGGGAUGGAAUUGAAAGGAGAGUGGGAGAAGAAGAUGUCAACACAACUUCAAUAAUAUCCAUUAUGCCACAACUUCGAUGGUUGACAAUUCUUAACUGCCCGUUGCUGAGAGCACUACCAGACUAUGUUUUGGCAGCGCCUCUACGGGUAUUAGACAUAUGGGGUUGCCCCAUUCUAAGGAAACGUUACGGGAAGGAGGAGAUGGGUGAAGAUUGGCAAAAGAUUUCUCACAUCCCAAACAUUUCUAUUUAUAGUUAAAGAAUAGUAAAGGCACGGAAGUCUGUAGGACCGGCAGGAAGAGGUAUGUUUCAUAUACCUCUUUACUGUAUAUUGUUGACUUUGGAUUGUAUUUCCUACUUACCAUUUAUUCCAUCAAAUGCAGCUGUGAUAUAUAUACCCAUCUCUCUCUCUCUCUCUCUCUCUCUCUCAACAUAUAUAAAAUAAUAUGUAAUUCAUAUGUUCAUAUUUAAAGAAUAGUUAGGACCGGCAGGAAGAGGUAAUUUUUUAUUUAAUUAUUGAAUUAGACUUAAAUUUUACAUGUUAAAAAAUUAAUCUAAGAUGAAAUUAUCUCGCUUAAAUUCUCCAAAUGCCACUCUAAAAAAAUUAUUCUACCAGUGUUAAUUCAACGGUAAAAGAUUUUACCAAAUCUAUUUUAACAAAUCUAUUUUGGGCUCCCCAUUUUUGUCAUUCAGAAAAUGGAAUAGUCAUUUUAACUUUGUUUUUGAUUCUUGACUUUGUUUUUGAUUUACUAAUUCUUCAUUUGUUAACCAAAUGAUUUAUUUUUAUUUUGUUCAGAGUGGCUUCCGAUUUGGUUCUGUGUUGUGAUUUACUUCUUUGAUUGUAUUAAUUAUUUAUUAUUAAAAUAAUAUUUUUUAUUUUUUAAAAAUUAUUUUUAACAUAACAUAUCAAAAUAAUUUGAAAACAUCAAAAAUAUAUUAAUUUAAAAUAAAAAAAUAAAAAAAUUUCAAAAAAUUUUUAAAAUGCUUGCUAGACUUUAAAGUUAAUCUAAAUAAAAUAAAAUAAAAUAAAAGUCAAGCCAUACAUACAAUGAUGCUUAUAUGUGUAUUUUUUUUUUUUAAUGAUCCCAAUACAUAUUUGAAGAAUAAAAAAAUUAGUUCAAAAUUAAAAAAAAAAUUAAAAUCUUUUAAAAAUACAACUAAACUAUGGCACCUAGCACCAGGUACCAUGGGCCAGCGCGCCCAUGGCCAGGCAAGGAGCUCCCCUGAAAAGCAACAUGUAGAAUUUAGGCGUAAUAGAGUGUCUGUAGACACUACUACUUAGGUACUAGCUAUCACGCACUUUAAUAAGUUCAAUUAUUAGUAUUUUUAGCUGAAAUAUUGCACAAAAGCUGGAAAAAGUCCAAUUAAGUGGCUGUUUGGUAUAAUUAUAAUAUAUUAUUUUAGUAUAUAUUAUUAAGACAGCUAUAUUUUAGUAUAUAUUAUUAUAGUAUAAUUAUAAUAUAUAAGUUAUAUUAUUAUAAUUAGCAUUAUAAUAUAUAAGUAUCUCACGACUUUUAGAGUAUUACUUAAUUAAUAUUGAAAAUUUAUAUUUUUAAGAAAUUCAACAUAAUAUACUCAAUGGCUAGAAGCUUGGUGGCCAAUUUCAGAUCAUGAGUUUUCGUUUAUUGUCGAGGAUGAUUUGGAGGUUUCGCCGCUGUUUUAUAAAUUUGCGAGGGGUUUGCUUGCUAUUACAAUGUGUCGAAUUUUAGUCCUUUUAUAUAUGAUAUGGUGCUUCACUUCAGCGUCCACGGUUUGUCCCAGGUACUGCUCUUUUUUCAGGUUUUGUAUUUGUUAGACUGGAUGUUUUCAUGUUCAGUGUUAAGGUUUACAGAUUUCUUGAUUUGUUAAUUAUAUUGGGUUUUGUGCGGAUGUAGUGUGCUUCUCAUGCUAAAACUUGCUUUACAAUUGCUAGGCUGAAAUCCUUUUAGUCUUUUGCUUGUGGCGUAAAUAUAUGUAUCAUGUCCAUAGGAUGCGAAAUCCUUUUAGUCUUUUGCUUGUGGCGUAAAUAUAUGUAUGGUGUCCAUAGGAUGCGAACUUGAAAAGUUUCCAUUUGGUAUUUCGCAAUUGCAUAAGCAUAUGUGAUUAUGACACGUACGUCAAAAACAAUAUGCAUUAAUUUUGUUGCUGGUAGAGAGUGCCAUAUGCAAUAUUUUCUGUCUCUUAUUGGAGCCUUUUUAUGAAAAUUGUGUUAAUUCAACAAUUCUCAUUACAUACCCCUGACCUGAUUUUUUUUAAAAAGAAUUCUUUUACCUUUUUGAGAGUGAUUUUGGUUUAUCUGGUCGCUGAUUGCAGGUAAACAUGGAAACAAAAUACAAUUGGAUAGUGAAACGCAUCUUUUCUUGUACCCAUUGGUUGGUACUUGGCGUCAGAUUCUCUUUCCAAAACCUUGGAAAGAGUUUAGGUUGUGGUACGAUCUGUCACGUUCACACUAGAAGAAAAGAGUUGGAUUAAUUCGAGGAAAUCCACAGCCUCCAAUACUUACUGAUUGCUACUGUUUUCAUGCCUUUCUCAUUAACAUGAAGGACUAAAAUACAACUGGAAAAUAAUAACUGACGAUGCACAUUUCUUGCUCAUUAACAUGAAGAAGAAAGGAAGGUGAUGCAGUCCAGACAAUAUGAAUCCUUUCCUCCAGAAAAUCUUGCUCCUUUCUUGUCCUUUUCACGCCCAUUUGCUCCCCUUCACAAACAAACCUCCCAUUUAAAGGAGCUCCAAUCACACAAACCAGCAAUCCUUCCAAAAAAUUUUCCAUGACCAGCACAUGCUACUGAUAUCAGAUAAACAUAAAAUGAAGAGAAGAAAUAGAGAAACAGAUGACAAGCAGGAAUUUCAGUAGAAUGCUAUAAUCAAUUUCAGGAAUUUCAGUAGAAUGCGAUAAUCUUUCAGUAGAAUUCUCCAGACCAAUCGUGUUAUUAAGUGAAGACCAUGAAUUCAAAACUAUGAUAUCAGAAUCAAGAUAGAUAGCAUAACGAUGAUCAUCAGGAACAACCCAACAAGAAAAAAAAAACAAGAGACAAGUUACCAAAACAUAGAUUCUAAACAUAAGAAAUGGCGCGAUUGAAUCACUACAUUACAUAGUAUAACGAUGAUCAUCAGGAAUAUAAAAUAAAAAUUCUUCUCAACUCGAGCGAAGAGGGUAUUAACUAAUACAUGGUUUCUAGUUCAAGAGCCAGCAUCAAAAUUACUAGAUUAUGAGAUUUAUUUUAAACACCUCAAUGUGAUAGUACAGUGUCCUAUAUGAGAUUCACACAGGAACCAGCAAGAUGUUGUGUCAUUCUAGUCAUACAUGUGAUUGACAUUCCAGAAGGGGGAGAUAUUUUCAAGAAGCGAGCUAAUUACUUGUAGAGAGCAGCAAGGUGAACCGGUUCAAUAUAGUGAACAUAUGUCUUUCACCGCUGAAACCAAACUGGAGUGAAAAUAUGGGUUUUCUCCAUAGCCUUAUCACCUCUAGUCAACCACGGGUCUCGCAGCAAAGGAUACGGGUUCAAGAAAACAAAUUCACUAUUUAUCAAGCCAAUCACCCCACCCUUCUCUUAAAGAUUACAACUUUUUACUUAUCUUUAACAACAAAGCAUCUUCAAUAAUCUUAACUCACUAAGUUUUCUGUUAAUUUCCUCAUCAACAAGAAUAUCAUCACUGCCAAACACGGUCGUACUUUUAUAAUCCUCAACUAAAACCAUUGUAAUAAAAUAAAACAUCGUAAUAUCUUAUCAAUUUCUUAUUCAAAUACCUUAUAAUAGACCUGGUUACAUGAUCCAUGUAAUACCAAGAAUCGAGGGACUUUUCGUUUCUUCUUCUUCGGUGUUUUUUUUUACUUUCAUUUUCGUGAUCUUCUUCUUCUUCUUCUCUAAUGGUGUCUUCUUCAUUGAUAUUGUCGACGCCGAGACUUAGCUUGGGUUUUGAAUGAGGGACAGUGUUGUGUCGAUACCAAGAGUGUUUUUUUAUUGUCGUUUAGAAUUUUUAAAUUAAUUUUCUUUUAAAAAAAGGCAAUUAAAUUACGUGUUUUUAUGAUUUUAAUAUAUUAAUAUGAAAAAUAAAAAAAUCUAAAAGACAUUAUUAUUUAAUAUAUUUUAAAUAAAAAAAACUUUAUACAUCCCUUGUAGACUUAGGUAAAAAAUUAUUUUUUUAAAAAAUAAAUAAUUUAAUAAAAUAAUUGUUUUAAAAAAAUAAUUAAACUUUUAAACUCUGAUCCGAUGAAGUUAAGUUUAAAAAAUUCUGGUUAAAACUGGUUCAAAGCCUUCAUUGAGCCCAAUGUAAAGAGGCCCAACCUGCCGUCAUAAAAGCCCAAUAUUCUCUUCUCCGCCACCACUAUGCCAUGCCUUUUAUAUAAGCAAACGAAUAUGUACGAAGAAGAGCUUAGGCCUACAAAAGGGGAAAAGGGAGAAAAGUUGAUACUGCUUUUUCUUCUAAAUAGACACCGGAUGACUAUUGCACCCUUGUAAUGGUAUCUGAUUCAGCGAAAAGGAGGGUAUUAUGGUAAUUGGAACAACUUAAAUCGAGAAUCUGAACCGUUGUAUUCCUCUGCAAAGAUGCACAUGCUGUUAACCAAUGAUAAAUUAAUGUAUAGCUGUUACAGUUUGUUAUUUAUUAGGACUCCAUUACUGCAACAACUGUUACAAUAUGUUAUUCAUUAGGACUCCAUUACGGUUACAGUUACAGUUUGUUAUUCUUCCUGCAACGUAGAGAAUUCAGUUAGGUUCUGUAUCUAUAUAUAUAUAUGUCUUCUAUUAAUAAUAUAUGUAAGCAAUUCUCUUCCAAAAGCUUCAGCUCUAUCAUGGUAUUAGAGCGUCUCUGAUCCUUUAUUUAUUUUUUUCUCUUUCUCUUCCUACUCUUUUUCGGUUCUGUUUCUCCCUCAUUAACAUCACCAUGUCAACUUCCAUUCCAUCAAAUACGGAAAACCACCUUAUCACCAUAAACACAGCUGCUCAAGCUCCUCUUAAACUCACCUCUUCCAACUAUGCUUCCUGGAAAAUUCAAUUUGAAACACUCUUUAUUGGCUACGAUCUCCUUGGUUACAUCGAUGGGUCCAAGCCGUGUCCCUCACUAACUCUUAUAACAGAUGAUAUCAUUGUUCCCAAUCUUGCCUAUAGUCUCUGGGUGAGGCAAGAUCAACUUCUAUUGAAUGCUAUUGUUGGCAGCCUUUCUCCUCCGCUUAUCUUCUUUGUCGUCCGCACCAUUUCUUCUCAUGAUGCAUGGCAUGUUCUUGCCACAACAUAUGCCAAACCAUCCCGUGGACGUAUCCGCCAGGUGAAAAACCAGUUAAAGAAUCUCACAAAAGGCUCUAUGAGUAUCACAGAUUUUGUCUACUUCAUUAAAGCAAAAUCUGACGAACUUGCUGUUCUUGGUGCUCCUAUGGACACUGAUGAUCUUACUAAACAAAUCCUCGAUGGUUUAGAUGAAGAUUACACAGAACUUGUUCAGGUUGUCCAAGCUCGCGAAGCUGCUAUCUCCUUUGAUGAACUACAUGAGAAACUUCUCUUAUUUGAAGCAUCACUUCAAACACGGUCACAAUCCUCUCGUCUUGGUCCUAUUACUGCCAACUCUUUCACCAAGAACUCAAGCAACAACAAUUGGCGACCCUCAAGAACCAACUGGCGCCCAUUCUUUUCUCCUAUUGGGAACACUUUUCGUUCCCUACCUAUUGCCAACUUUCGACCUGCUACUUUUCCCAAUCAGGUUCGCAAUAAUCAUCUGCCUGCACGUCCUUAUUUGGGCCAUUGCCAGAUGUGUGGCACUCAGGGGCACACUGCUAAACGAUGUCCUUCUUUUCAUUUAGUUCAUGUUCAUGGUUCUAACAUUGCCAACUCCUCCAAUGGUAUGCCAUCCUCCUGGAAUCCCCAAGCCAAUUUUUCUUCUUCAUCUCUAUCCACCGCUGCGUCAUGGUUACUAGAUAGUGGUACUUCCCAUCACGUUACUGCCGACCUCAAUAAUCUUUCUCUCCAUACACCAUAUAAUGGACAAGAUGAUGUUAUGCUAGGCGAUGGUACCAAUCUUCCUAUAAGUCACACUGGUUCAGUAUCUCUUCCCACAUCUAACUCUUUUUUCCAAUUACAAGAUGUUUUGUGUGUUCCCAAAAUGCAAAAAAAAUUAAUAUAUAUUGCAUUAUUCUGUAUCACUAACAAUGUGUCAAUUGAAAUUUUUCCUCAUUGUUUUCAUGUGAAGGACCUACAAACGAGGGACAUUCUUCUGCAGGGCGGCACUAAGGAUGGUAUUUAUGAAUGGCUAGUUGCCAUCUCUUCCACUCCUCCCAUUCUAGCUUUCUCUGUUGUCAACAAUGUCCAUUUGGCACCGGCGCUUUGGUCAUCCAGCCUUCACAAUUCUUAAACAUAUUAUGUCCUCCUAUCAUUUAAAUUUUUCUUCUCAAAAGAAUUUCUGCUGCAAUGCUUGCUUAAGUAAUAAAAGUCAUAAACAACCAUUUUCUGUGUCUAUUUUGCUCACUACUCGUCCUCUUCAAGUUGUAUUUUCUGAUGUUUGGACUUCUCCUAUUAUUUCACACGAUGGUUAUAAAUACUAUGUUAUCUUUAUUGAUCAUUUUACAAAAUACAUUUGGUUAUAUCCAUUAAAACAAAAAUCUGAUGUCCAAAUAGUGUUUCGACGCUACAAAGCAAUUGUUGAAAAAUAUUUUCAACAAACCAUUAUUUCUCUUUAUUCUGAUAAUGGUGGUGAAUACAUUGCUCUCAAACCAUUUCUUUCAGAACAUGGGAUUAGUCAUCUCACGUCUCCACCACAUACACCUGAACAUAAUGGUUAUUCUGAACGGCGACAUCUUCACAUUGUCGAAACUGGUCUUGCCCUUUUUUCUCAUGCCUCAAUUCCCACUACCUUUUGGACUUAUGCCUUCACCACUGCUGUUUACCUAAUUAACAGGAUGCCAACUCCCACAUUAAACAUGUCUUCACCAUAUGAGUCAAUUUUUCACAAGAGUCCUAAUUUUUCUAAACUUAAAGUGUUUGGCUGUUUAUGUUAUCCUUGGUUGGGUCCAUAUGCAUCUCAUAAACUUGAUUUGAAAUCUCAACCCUGCGAUUUUCUUGGAUACUCCCUUUCUUAGAGUGCAUAUCUAUGCCCUAACAAAUCCACUAACAAACUACAUGUUUCACGGCAUGUACAAUUUGUUGAGUCAGUUUUUCCUUAUAAGUCUUAUCCUACUGCAACUUCAAAUUUUCCUUCCCCCGUGUCUGACUGGAUGCCUUCACCUAUUUUUGUCUCAUCUCAAACCCCACAACAACUGGCUCUUUCUGCUCCUUCCUCACAAUGUCAUGCAGAUGCAUCUCCUUCUAUGGUCUCUUCAUCAAGUCCUCCAACUCAUGCCGAAGCAAUUCCUUCCAUCAUUUCUACUCCACAGGUACCUACUUCCCCCUCUCAUCAUAAUCCUUCACUUCCAGCUCCAUCUCUACCUGUUCCACCACCACCACAACAUUCCCAACACCCUAUGAUCACUCGGUCCCGGAAUAAUAUCCACAAACCAAUCCAGAAACUCAGUCUUCACACUACUAAACCAGUCAUCUUUCAAACAGAACCUUCCACCUCCUCUCAGGCACUUAAAGAUCCAAACUGGCGAUCUGCUAUGUCUGAGGAAUAUGAUGCUCUAGUAUGCAAUGACACAUUGGAACUUGUUCCUCCUAAUGGUAUCACUAACGUUGUUGGUUGCAGGUGGGUUUACCGCAUUAAAAGACAUUCUGAUGGUUCUAUAAACAGGUUUAAAGCACGACUUGUUGCAAAAGGUUUCCACCAGCGUCUCGGUGUGGACUAUCAUGAGACUUUCAGCCUCGUUGUGAAGCCAACAACUAUCCGCUUGGUACUCAGCCUUGCUGUCAGCCGCGGAUGGUCACUUAAACAACUGGAUAUCAACAAUGUUAUCGCACGUGUGCAGCGUCACGACGAUCAUCCACCCUCAAUUGUAUGGAUAUAUAUCUAGUAAAUACGGGGAGACACGAAAUUCUUUGUCUCUUAGCAGUAAAAAAAAUGGAAUGGAGUCGCCACCUAGUAUUAUGGUCACUAGGAACCCUAAUUGGUCUCAGAGAUCGGGUACGGAGACUGGUUGCGUAAAGGGAAGGUAUUAGCACCCCAAAUACGCCCUACCUAAGGUAAGCUGCAUUGUUUUAUUUGUCUGAUCAAAAUCUAAGGUUUGGUCGUGUUUUCUAAUUGUUGGUCUUGUCUAUCUAAGAUUCAAGAAAAGCCCUCCUCAAUAAGAAGGUUCUUAUCUUAAUGGGGUAGAACCUAACCGUUCUAACGUUGGAAAAAGAUUUAAUAUCCGGAAUACGUAUUACGUGUCAUAUCGUACCCUGGAUACUAAAAGACAAACAAAAUAAAAUUUUUUAUUGUUUUUGAAAUUUUGGCUAAUGUUCUCUUGACUUUAAUAAACUGGUUAUUAAAGCCAAAAUGCAUGUUAAAACAUUAUUUUUUUGUUUAUAAAAAACACAAUAUGAUUUUUUAGCUUUGAGACACUUGGCCGUAUGCACAAAAAUAUUUUUUCUUUUUUUCAAAGUUUUUUGUAUUUUUGAAAGUUUUGACGAAAACCGGGUAUUUUAAUAUCAAAUUUUGUAUUUUUAGCAACAUAAAAAUACUGCUUGAUAUUAAUCAAAAUGACAAAAAAAUACGCAGGAAACUUGUAAAAUUACAAACAAAUAUUUUUGAAUUUUUCUUUUAACAAAAAAAGAAAAAAAAUUGGGUCGGAUCUGGCCCAUCCAUCCUGGGCUGGGCCUGACCCGGCCCAUAUACUGUGGGCUGGGCUGAUGUGCCAGCCCAUAACAAAUAAAAGGACUGGUUACUGUGCUGCGCACAGUAACCAGCAAAAAUAUAAUUAGCUAGUUAAUCUUCAUUUUGCUGCAGAACGUAAACGUUCUGUAAAAUGAAGCUGAAGCACAAAACGAUGGGGGAGGGGAGAAAGUUACCUGGAGCGGUGGCGACGCUGGCGGCAGCGGAUGCGACAGGGGUGGUGGUGUAGGCGGCGACUGUUCUCCUUCCUUCUCUCCCGUCUCCUCUGUUUCUCUUCUCAGCCACCCUCUCCUCUGCCUUUUUUUGUUUUCUAACUUUGGACACAAAAGAAAAAAAUUAUAUCGGAGCCCAAUCAUUGCUCCACCAUGCACACAUGCUUAACCACCUAAAAGAGAACGGUGCGACGCUUCCAACACUAUAAUGGAAAGCGGUGCUUGGCCAUCGAGAGAUGCCACAUGUGUCAUUCAAGGAGCAUUGAUACCUCCCACUCUCUGACACGUAUUGCACGUGUCAACCAGUUUUUAUUUUUAUAUAUAUGUUAAAAGACUAAAUUUUUUCUCAUUUACAUUGAUUAUAACUAAAAAGCCAUAAUGAAAAUAUAAAAACACACCUGGACACAAGUUUUAAUUUUUUUUCCUUUUAAAAGCAAUGUAGUCAUUUAACUAUGCUAGCAAAACGUAAAAAGAAAUAACCCCUUGGACCUUAAUUGUAAAAAAAAAAAUUUAAGACUGUUUAAGUAAUUUUACUGUGCAUUUGAAAUGGUAAAAGAUCUAUUGUCCCUAAUUAAUACGAGAAUGACAAAUGAACCAUGUAAAAAAGACUAAAUUACCCCUAACAGCUAGUUAAAUGACUUUUUUAGAAGGGCAAAAUAGUCAUUAUAUUUUUUUAUUCCACAACGAUGAGUUUAGGGAUACAGUGAAACGUUGAUGGCUUUUUAUUUUUUAUAUUUACUAGAACAAUUUUUAAGGAUAUUAUAGUUAAUUUUUAAGGAUAUUUUAUAUAUUCAUAAAUUAAAUGUUAAUGAAAAUUAAGAAAAGAAAAGAAUUAAAUUAUCAAUAAUGAUUGAUGAGAAACAAAAUUAAUGUAAUGUAUAUUUUGAAUAAUAAAUUGAGAUGAAGAUAUAAAAUAUUUUUUUUCUAGAAUAAUUUUGAUUCUUUUAAAGUGCAUUUAUAUAUAUAUAUAUAUAUAUAUAUAUAUAUAUAUAUAUAUAUAUAUAUAUAUAUAUGCAGUCUCUCUAUUUUCAUUAUCUGUAUUUUUUAUAUUUCAAGACAAGAAUCAAAUGCUACAUACAAAUAUUAUACAUUAUAGAAAGAAGUAUAAUUUUAUUCUCUCUAAUUCUCAGUCCACCCUUUUCAAGAUUUAAAAUUAAAAUCUCCUCAUAAAAAACCUAAAUCUUAACAGUUAGAUUGUGGAUUUAGUAAUUAAUAUUAAAUUCUGUCCUUGUUGUUUUGUAAUUUAAUGCUAAGUUGCUAACUAUACUCUUAUAAAUUCUCGUACACAUUCAAGAAAAAAACAAAACCCUAAAGUAAACCAUUAGUGAGGUUGGAUUCCUUCCUUUUAUUUAUAAUCGUUUAAAACCAAACCCUUCUCUUUCUUCCUUCCAUCGAAAUAUCAACUUCGUUUAGAAUUUGAUUGCUUGUCGUUUUCAUUGUGCGGCAUUCCAAAAUUACUGAUUCGAAACCACAUCUUCAACAAAAAUAAUCAUCCACAUGCUUCAUCUGUGGAUGACAAAUUCUAGGAAUCUCAGCUAAUUGUGAGAACUGCUGCGACAAACCUAUGAAAGAUGUCAGGGAAGGAUUAAGAAAGCUAGCUAUUUCAACGAAAAAACUAUUUACUAGGGCUAAAAAACGAAAGAAAGCCUGCUUUUUUGUUCUUAGAGGGAAGGGCAAGGGCCAAGGUUGAUUGGACUUGAUAUAAAGAUGAUGUCUAAUAAAAAUGCCAUUGAUGGCCCUUUUUGCAGGCUGUGAUUCAAGGGCCGCGAUCAUUUUUGGAUGCUGAUUUUGUUUUUAGUAAAAAAUUAAAAUCUAAUAAUUCUAAAACUUGGAAAAAAAUUUCUAAGGUUUUAAAAAAAUUCUCAUCGAUAAAUUUUUUUUAUUAAAAACUAAUUAUUGUAAAAGCUGAAACAGAGAGAAGAGCAGCUGCUGGGAACCCAAAAAGGAUGAUUUUGUUUUCUAACUUUGGACCCGAAAAUCCCCCCUGUUUCUGCUUCUUUGUAAACCUCCCCUGUCUCUUUUCUCAAAUUUGUUCCUCCCUUCUCUAUUUUUUUUUCUUCUUCAAGUUUGUUUCUCAAAAGUUUUGCCCCCUCUGGUUUCUCUCUCUUUUUUGUUUUUGCAGCUUGCCUGUCUUCCCCUGCUCUUUCCCUUUUUUUUUCUCCAAAGAAAAUUGUUGGUCUCUCUCUCGGUCUCCCUCACUUUCUCUUUAAAAAAAUCCUUCCAGCUCUCCCUUCUUGAUCUCCCCCCCUAUUCUCCUGCACUCCCUCUGUAUUUAUAGGCAGAGGGAGAGAGGGCCACCAUGCCCUAUCCUGCCAUUAUGCAGGGCAUGGCAUGGUGGCAUAGGGGUGGCUACUCCACAGCCGCCCCUACCUCUGUAGGGCAUGGGUCUUUUGGUGUGAAGGCGUGGUGGUGUCAGUGAAGGGACAAGUCAGGUCGUAGUUGGUUUUUUGGUUUUUGGGAGAGAGAAAGGAGAGAAAAAAAUAGGGGGAAAAAUGCUUCUUCUUCCCCUGUUCUCUGCGCGUCCAGGGGAAGAAGCAGGCUUAUGGUGCCGUUCAAAACGGCACCGUUUGCUCUUUCUCUCUCUUUUUUUUCCAGUGAAAUGCAUGAAACGACGCCGUUUUGACCAAAACGCGUCAUUUCAUUUAAACGAAAACUGGCGCCAAAAUGGGUCAAUUUGCGCGCUUUUUCACUAUGGUCCUUGGUUUUGGAUUUCUUCAAUCGAGUCCCUAAUUGGCCACCAGACUUCAAUAUGUAUGCAAUUAAGCCCCUGAUUUGACCAAAUCAACUCUUAAAAAUUAUAAUUUGACCCCAGAACUUUAAUUUCUUCCAAUUAAAACCCAAAUUGACUUAAAAAUCAAUUUUUCUUGCGAUCAAACCCUCCAUAAAUUCAAUUAAACUUUCAAUAAAAUUUAAUUGAGCCCAUAUACAUCUGAUUUUGUACAUUUCUUCCUCAAAUAAAAUUUUCUUUAUCAAUAGGGCUCUCACCGGUCAACGAUAUACUGUCAAAUUUCAAUCCUUGUAUUUUUUGAUCCUCCUCAACCAAUUUUUGACCAUUUUCGGGGCGCUCUAGCAUCCUCUUUUCACUGCUAUUAUUUUUUUAUUUUUUUUAUUUUGUGCGGGGACCAAAAAAUGGGUUACAACAAAUGCUUUCCUUCAAGGUCAUCUUUCUGAAACCGUUUACAUGGCGCAACCUCCUGAAUUUGUUGAUCGCGAAAAACCGUCAUUUGUUUGCAAACUCCACAAAGCCAUUUAUGGACUCAAACAGGCGCCCCGGGCUUGGUAUCAUGAAUUGCGCACAUUUUUGUUGGCUUCUGGUUUCCGCAAUUCCCACUCUGAUCCUUCUCUGUUCAUAUUUAACAGUGCUCAGCAUGUUUUGUUUUUACUGGUUUACGUGGAUGACAUUAUUGUCACAGGCAGCGAUGACGACAUUCUAUCAGAUUUUGUUUCUAGCCUUGCCAAACGUUUUUCUCUUAAGGAUCUUGGCAAUUUGUCCUACUUCUUGGGUGUUGAAGUUCUUCCUCACAAACAGGGUAUUCUACUCUCUCAACGCAGGUACAUUACUGACCUGCUAACUCGUCUCAACAUGCUGGACGCAAAACCAGUGCUCACUCCAAUUCCAAGCUCUGCAUCUGCUAUUUCAUUGCUGUCUGACUCGCCUUUAUAGAAUCCCACUGUUUAUCGUGAAGUUGUAGGGAGUCUUCAGUAUCUUUCUCUUACAAGACCAGAUGUGUCAUUUGUUGUGAACAAACUAUCUCAGUUCAUGCACAGCCCAACCGAUGACCACUAGAUCCUUGUUAAGCGAAUUAUGUGAUAUCUUAUUGGUACACUAAACAAGGGCCUUCUUCUGCACCGUGACUCGCCCUACAAUCUUCAUGCCUUCGCUGAUCAACUUCAUGCCUUUUCAGAUGCCGAUUGGGCUGGCAAUAAAGAUGAUUAUUCAUCCACCAGUGCUUAUCUAGUUUACCUUUGGAGUAAUUUAAUUUCAUGGAGUUCAAAUAAACAAAAGACCAUUGCCAGGUCUUCAACAGAGGCUGAGUAUCGCUCCGUUGUUGCCACUGCUGCUGAGCUCUGUUGGGUACACUCUCUACUUCAUGAACUUGGUGUUGCUCUGUCUUCUUCACCUGUGAUAUACUGUGACAACAUUGGAGGAACUCAGUUAAGUUCCAAUCCUAUUUUUCAUUCUCGCAUUAAACAUGUUGUCGUUGACUACCAUUUCGUCCUAUUUUCAGGGAUAAUAUAAAAAAUUUCAUUAAAUUUAAAAAAAUGAUGAAAUCUCGUAUCUUCAGGAUUCACGUCAAAGUUUUUGUUAAAAUUCAAGAAAUUGUGAAAUAUAUUAUCUUUAAGGAUUAAUGUAAAAAAAAUAAAAAGUUAAAAAACUAGUGAAAUCUCCUAUUUCAGAAAUUAAAGAUAACAAAAUUUUCGUUAAAAUUCUUUUAUAUAUUAAGGCCAGUGCCAUAAAAUGACAAGCUAUGAAAUCUUAGAUUUUUAGGGUUUAACGUUAUUUCGACAAGUUUUUUUAUUUUUAGAAACCGAUAUUUAUUUUUAAAUAAAUCAUAAAUAAAAUCAGAAUAUAAUAGCAUAAAAUAACUUAGAAAAACAAAAGUAAUGGUAAUUUUUUAUUUGAAAAGAUAUGAUAAGGGUGGUGUUAACCUGAUAAGGGUGGUGUUAAAAAGAGAGGCAACAACGGAGAAGAAGAAAUAAAAAAGACAUAAAAGCACAGUAUCUGCAACAAGAAGAAGGAAGGAGAAAACAGGAUCAGACAAUAGAUAAAAAUGAGAAGUCAACUUCUAUUAUCCCCGAAAAAGAUCUCAAUGAGAAGUCAACUUCAAUUUCAUUUUUCAACCUACAAGUUGUGCUGAUCUUCCUUUACCACAGUCCUACAAAAACUAAUAAAAAAAUGUUGAGACACUAAAAUACAAGCUUCACCUGCAACGCCAAACCCUAAGUAUAUAAACUAACUUCCAUUCACAAUCAGCCGCCUCCUUCCCUUCACCCUCUCUUUCUCUCUGCUCAUCCCAUCAUCAUUGCUUCUCUCUCUCUCUCUCUCUCUUUCCAAUCAGAACUAAACAGACGAUGGCUGAGGCACUUCUAUCUCCGAUCUUGGAGCAGUUAACCACAAUCGUUGCUCAACAGGUAUUUUUCUACCAUCUGCAAUAACCUGAUUUACCUAGCAGAGAUAAGAAAUAUAUAUAAAGUUCAAGCCUUUUUUCUUCCUAUCAUAAAAAGAAUACUUUUAACUUGAAUAAAUAAAAAUAAUAUUUUAAAUCCUCAAGUAUAUAUUUGGAUUUUAUUAAAGAAUCUUCUUUUUCUUGUUUUAUUAUUUUUCAUAUUUCCAAAAAUAACAUAAAGAAAAUAUAUCAUUCCAAAUAUAGGAAAACCGAAAAAGGCAAAACAAGAGAUGCCAAUUCUCUUUAAACUUAACUAUUAAGGGUAAAAUAAUCAAUAAAAAGUUCAAAGGAUUAGCGAGCGAGUAUUUGGUGUGAAUUAACACACAAUCUUAUUAUCAUGCCUUUAUUUCACAAAUUAUACAUACAGAUCCUUUAAUUAUUCACUUGCAUUUAUACAUCCAUAUAUCUAUAGUUUAAUGUAAAAUGAAAACCAGAUUUUAUGUCGGUUCAAAGGAGAAAUCCUUCUCUCGUGAGAACAAUGAACUCUUUCCAUACCUAUAUUAAUUAUAUAUAUAUACACGCACAGGUUUAACGUUUUACCAUUUAAGAUUCAUUUUAUACCUUCUUGUACAGUAGCGUAGUGCAGACUGAUAUCAUCAUCAUGAUGAUAAAAAGAAAAAACAAAUAUUAUUAUUUCUAAUAAAUAUUUUAUAUAUAAAUUAUUAAUAUAGUAAAUCCAUUUCACAAUAAAAUAUAUUAAUACAAAAUAGAAAUGUUUCCUAUGCUUGAACUUGUAUUUUCUACACUAAUAGGUACAGGAAGAGGUGAACCUAGUAGGGGGUGUGAAAUUGUCAUAGAAAUGUUUCCUAUGCUUAACGUUUCUUUUCCUUUGUACACUAAUAGGUACAAGAAGAGGUGAACCUAGUAGUGGGUGUGAAGAAACAAUGUGACAAGCUGAAAAGCAAUCUCCUUGAUAUCCAAUCUGUCCUUGAAGAUGCAGAUAGAAAACAAGUGAAAGAUAAGGCUGUAAGAGAUUGGCUAGACAAGCUCAAAGAUGCAUGUUAUGAUAUGGAUGACGUGCUAGAUGAAUGGAGAACUGCAAUUCUUAGAUGGAAAAUGGAGGAAGCUGAAGAAAAUACUCACAGCCGACAGAAGAUACGGUGUUCCUUCCUGGGAUCUCCUUGCUUUUGUUUCAAUCAAGUGGUUCGACGUCGCGACAUUGCCCUGAAGAUCAAAGAAGUUCGUAAAAAAGUGGAUGACAUUGCCAAAGAGAGAGCUAAGUAUGGCUUCGAUCUGUACAAAACCACUGAUGAACUCCAGCGACUAACAACUACCUCCUUUGUUGAUGAAUCAAGCGUGAUUGGUCGAGAUGGUGAAAAGAGAAAUGUUGUAAGCAAGUUGCUGGCUGAAAGUAGUCAAGAAGCACGGGACGUGGAUGUCAUCUCUCUAGUAGGGCUGGGAGGAAUUGGAAAAACAACUCUCGCCCAACUAGCUUUUAAUGAUGCUGAGGUUACGGCUCAUUUUGAGAAAAAGAUAUGGGUGUGUGUUUCCGAACCAUUUGAUGAGGUUAAGAUAGCCAAAGCUAUCCUUGAGGAGCUUGAAGGGAGGGCAUCCGAUUUGGUAGGAUUGCAAUCCCUUUUGCGAAGGGUUUCUGAAUCCAUUGAGGGAAAGAGGUUCCUUCUUGUCCUUGAUGAUGUAUGGACAGAAAAUCACGGACAAUGGGAACAACUGAAACCAUCUCUCACAGGCUGUGCACGAGGAAGCAGAAUUCUAGUGACCACUCGUAAGGACGCUGUGGCAACGAUGAUGGGAAGUACUGGCCACCGGAUCAACAUUAAGGAAUUGUCCGACGAGAUAUGCAGGUCAAUAUUCAAUCAUGUGGCAUUCCAGGAAAGAAGCGAAGAUGAGCGCGAAAGAUUGACAGAUAUCGGCGAUAAAAUUGCAAACAAGUGCAAGGGCUUGCCUCUAGCUGCCAAGGUAUUAGGAGGUCUAAUGCAGUCUAAAAGAACAAGAGAAGAGUGGGAUCGUGUUUUAUCUAGCGAACUGUGGAGGCUAGAUGAGGUUGAUAGAGAUCAAGUUGAACGACGAAUAUUUAUACCUUUGCUCUUGAGUUACUACGAUUUACCUUCUGUGGUAAGACGAUGUUUCUUGUAUUGUGCCAUGUUUCCAAAAGACUACGAGAUGGACAAAGAUGAAUUGGUGAAGAUGUGGAUGGCUCAGGGUUACCUCAAGGAGACUUCAGGUGGAGAUAUGGAGCUUGUAGGAGAGCAGUACUUUCAAGUCUUAGCAGCGCGCUCUUUCUUCCAAGAUUUUGAGACGGAUGAGGAUGAAGGAAUGACAUUCAAGAUGCAUGAUAUAGUGCAUGAUUUUGCCCAAUAUAUGACAAAAAAUGAAUGUCUAACAGUGGAUGUCAAUACACUUGGAGGAGCAACAGUGGAGACUUCAAUUGAAAGGGUUCGUCAUUUAAGCAUGAUGCUGCCCAACGAGACCUCUUUUCCCGUGUCCAUUCACAAAGCAAAAGGUCUUCGCAGCCUCUUGAUCGACACUAGAGACCCUUCGCUUGGAGCUGCACUGCCUGAUUUGUUCAAGCAGUUGACAUGCAUCAGGUCAUUGAAUUUGUCAAGGUCUCAAAUCAAAGAAAUACCAAACGAGGUAGGGAAAUUGAUACAUUUGAGACACCUCAAUUUGGCAUGGUGUGUAGAGUUGGAGUCCCUGCCAGAAACCAUUUGUGAUUUAUGCAAUCUGCAAUCCCUAGACGUUACUUGGUGCCGGUCUCUCAAGGAAUUGCCCAAGGCGAUUGGAAAACUUAUCAAAUUGAGGCAUCUCUGGAUUGAUAGUUCAGGAGUGGCCUUCAUACCAAAGGGAAUAGAGAGGAUAACAUGUCUUCGAACAUUAGAUAAGUUUACUGUGUGUGGUGGUGGUGAGAAUGAAAGUAAAGCAGCUAAUCUAAGAGAAUUAAAAAACUUAAAUCACAUUGGAGGGAGUCUCAGAAUAGACAAAGUAAGAGAUAUAGAAAAUGUGAGAGACGUCGUGGAUGCACUACUCAAUAAGAAGCGCCUACUUUGCUUGGAAUGGAAUUUCAAGGGAGUGGAUUCCAUCUUGGUGAAAACAGAGUUGCCAGAGCAUGAAGGCUCUUUAAUUGAAGUUUUACGGCCUCCGUCAGACUUGGAAAAUCUAACCAUACGGGGUUACGGAGGGUUGGAUUUGCCAAAUUGGAUGAUGACAUUAACCAGAUUACGGAUGCUUUCACUUGGUCCUUGUGAAAACGUGGAGGUCUUGCCUCCGUUGGGAAGAUUGCCCA
Molecule: long non-coding RNA, 42399 nt
Filed under: Populus trichocarpa (black cottonwood)
Lineage: Eukaryota; Viridiplantae; Streptophyta; Magnoliopsida; Malpighiales; Salicaceae
Description: long non-coding RNA (PTRI_LNC002966)
Source: RNAcentral